This 1387-nucleotide ribosomal RNA is filed under the name Taxonus zhangi. Its description in RNAcentral is "16S ribosomal RNA". The record is from RNAcentral. Lineage: Eukaryota; Metazoa; Arthropoda; Insecta; Hymenoptera; Tenthredinidae.
AAAAAUUAUAAUUAUUAUUAUUUAUAAUUAAUUAUUUAUUUUAAUUAAUAAAAGAAUUUUUAAAAAUUAAAAGUUUUUGUAUAUUUAUAGAUAAAAUUUUAUUAAUAAAAUUUUAUUAGUAUUGAAAAAGAAUUUUGAAAGAAAAAUAAUUAUUUUUAAUAAAGUAAAUUUAAUUAAUUGUACCUUGUGCAUCAGGGUUUUUUUAAAAAAAAAUAUAAAAUUAUUUUUUCUCGAAUUUAAAAGAUCUAUUUUAUUAAAUUUUUUAUUGUAGUAAAAAUAUUAUUAAUAUUAAAAUAGAAAUGAAAUGUUAUUCGUUUUUAAAUAUAUCUAGUUUUUUAAUAAAUGAAUUUAAUUCAGAUAUUAUUUAAUAAAUAUAUUUAUUGAAAUAAUAUAUUUAAUAUAAAUAAUAUUAAUAUUUUAAGGGAUAAGCUUUAAAAUAGAAAAUUUAUAAUAUAUAAUUAAAUAAAAUAUGGAAUUAUAUAGGCUUAGAAAUAGUUUUUAUUUAAAAAAUGUUAUAAUUUAAUUUUUUCUUUAAAAGUGAAAUAAUAAUAAUAAUUAUUAUUUAUUAAUAUAAUAUUUAAAGUUUUAUUAAAAUAAAUUAUUUAAUAAAAUAAUAUUUGAAAUAAUGAUAAAAUUAGUAAAUUUUAAAAUAAUGUAAUUUUAUUAAUUAAAUUAAUGAAAGUUUAAUUAAAGGAAUUCGGCAAAUAAUAUUUAAAAAUACUCACCUGUUUAACAAAAACAUGUCUUUUUGAAUUUAAUUUAAAGUCUAGUCUGCUCAAUGAUAUUUAAUAAUUAAAUGGCCGCAGUAUUUUGACUGUGCAAAGGUAGCAUAAUAAUUAGUCUUUUAAUUAAAGGCUUGUAUGAAUGAUUGAAUGAAGUAUAAUCUGUCUCUAAUUAAAUUUUAAUUUAAUUUAAUUUUUAAGUUAAAAAGCUUAAAUAUAAUUAUAGGACGAGAAGACCCUAUAGAGUUUUAUAAUUUUAUUUUGUUUAAGAAAUAAUUUUUUUUUAAAUAUAAUAGAUUAUUUUAUUGGGGUGAUAGGAAAAUUUAAUAAACUUUUUUAUUUUUUAAAACAUUAAUGAAUGAAAUUUUGAUCCUAAUUAUUUUAGAUUAAUAGAUUUAAUUACCUUAGGGAUAACAGCGUUAUUUUUUUUAAAGUUCUUAUUUAUGAAAAAGAUUGCGACCUCGAUGUUGGAUUAAAAUUAAUUUUAGGUGAAGAAGCUUAAAAUUUUAGGUCUGUUCGACCUUUGAAAUUUUACAUGAUCUGAGUUCAAACCGGUGUAAGCCAGGUUGGUUUCUAUCCUUAAUUUUUUAGAAAUUUUUAGUACGAAAGGACCAGAAUUUUAAAAUAAUUUUUAUAAUAAUUGAUUUUUAUUAAAUAUUUAUUUA